Non-coding RNA from Caretta caretta (loggerhead turtle), 4356 nucleotides. NCBI's taxonomy places the organism in Eukaryota, Metazoa, Chordata, Testudines, Cheloniidae. The record is from RefSeq and is a predicted model, not a curated record.
UGUUUCCGUGUGCUCUGAGAUUCUCAUGGACAAGUUUGCUGUGUUGGUCUCUGAAAGCUCCAUUUAACAACAGAACUCAGUCUCUAUUAGAAGUUUGAAAAGCUUAGUGACUUUCUGCUACUCAAGACAUGACACUUCCAUUCCGAAAAGAUUUGGACAAGUACAAGGAUCUUGAUGAGGAUGACAUUCUUGGCAAGCUAUCAGAAGAAGAGCUGAAACAACUGGAAACUGUUCUGGAUGACCUUGACCCUGAGAAUGCACUUUUGCCAGCAGGCUUCCGACAGAAAGACCAGACUACUAAAAAGGCCUCAGGUGCUUUUGACAGAGAGGGACUCCUUGCUUAUUUGGAGAAGGAAGCACUGGAACAAGAAGACAGGGAGGAUUUUGUUCCUUUUACAGGGGAAAAGAAAGGGAAAAUAUUUAUCCCCAAACAGAAGCCUGUACAGUCUUUCAUAGAAGAAAAAGUCUCUCUUGAUCCAGAACUGGAGGAAGCUUUGACAAGUGCCACAGAUACAGAACUGUGUGACCUUGCAGCUAUCCUGGGAAUGCACAACUUGAUAACAAACACUCAGUUCUGUGACAUAGUAGGAAGUAGUAAUGGUGUCAGCAAUGAAAGCUUCACAGAUACCGUAAAAGGUGAAAGGAUGAUACCAUUUUCAGAUGAACCACCAAAUCCCACACAUGUAGAGGAGAGUUUGCAAAGGAUUAAAGAUAAUGACUCUCGUCUUGAUGAAGUUAAUCUGAACAAUAUAAAGAACAUCCCAAUUCCAACACUGAAAGAAUUUGCUAAGGCUUUGGAAACCAACACCCAUGUGAAGAAUUUCAGCCUUGCAGCGACUCGAAGCAAUGACCCUGUUGCUGUUGCUUUUGCAGAUAUGCUGAGAGUGAACAAAAACUUGAAAAGUCUAAAUAUAGAAUCAAAUUUCGUCACUGGGGUUGGCAUUAUGGCACUGAUUGAUGCACUAAAAGAGAAUGAAACCCUGACAGAGGUCAAAAUCGAUAACCAGAGGCAGCAGUUGGGAACACCUGUAGAAAUGGAAAUUGCCAAAAUGCUUGAGGAGAACACAAAUAUCCUUAAAUUUGGAUACCAUUUCACACAACAGGGGCCACGAACCAGGGCAGCUGCAGCUAUUACAAAAAAUAAUGAUUUGGUCUGGAGUAUACGAAUAAAAUUUUCUGCAAAAGCCUUUUCAUCUCUCCAGCCUUGAAGCUACAGAGACAGGUUAUUGUGAAUACCCAGUUGGGUACUGAGCUCUGAAAUUGAAAUGUUUAGUCUCACAUCACUGUCUUUUUCGCAAGAGAAGGGUUGAAGGAGACUACCAGUAAACCAUGCUGCUGCUAGAAUUGCAUUGUGUGAAGAUUUCAGAGGUCCUCAAGGUGCAUCUGCUAAUCAUGGGUGUUGGCAAUCUCAGACUUCAUUUAUUUGGGUAGAAGGGAAAAGACUGGAAACCCCAUUCCUUUUUAGUAAAGUUAUGUUUAGAUCUGUGUAAUAUGCAUCACGUAUUUCAUUUUGUGACAUAGUAACUGCACUAGACUUUGCAAGAUCGGUUUUUUGAGAACUUUUUUAUAUUCAAGACUUUAGCUAUACUUUCCACUAAAAUAAUGUAAAUUUUGUAAUCAGUGGAGUAGUUGUCUGUAUUCAAAGAAUGAUACAUGAAGGGAUCAAUGGGCAAACAAUGGAGUAUGUUUCUGAUAGGAAAGCUGGGGAUGGUUAUUUAAAUGGCAGGAUUUGUAUAUUUUUGAGAACAAUGUUUUAGAGAAAAGGGAUUCUUAACACAGAACAAUUGGACUCUUAUUUUGUAGCUAUUACUUCAGCCUUCUUGUUAAUAUACACUGAACUUAAAUCUUUCACAGCUGUCACAGUUGCAGUUCCUUUUUGUCUUGAUUCAAUAAUAUGCUUUAUUGAUACUUUGAUAAAGCUCGAAAGUCAUCCCUUUUCUGAUGAAAACGUGAAUUGAAUAAGGGUUGUUUCUGCUCUCCAAUACAUUUGGAGGAGAACUAAUUAAAAGACGAGGGUGGGUGUCUUGAAAAAUCAACAUCUGUACUAAACCAAAAAAGCCUCCAAAGGAGCUUACAUUUCUGAAUAUUCUAAAAGACUGUACUUUGUUCUGAUAUGUUUAAACUGGACAUCUUUAGAUUGACUUAGUACAUUCAUCAGCAUUGUUUUAGAUUAUAUUCUUGUAUAAAAAUGUAUAUCUAAAUACCUUAAAUGACAUAGGAGUUUUCUAGCAGUAGUGAACAUGCAUUCUUUAAGAAAUGCUGAUAGUAUGCUUAGGAAAAGCAGUCCUGUGCAGCUCUGAAAUCAUAUACGUAAUCUCCUGUGGCGGGUUGCAACUGAGAAAUUCUGUUAAACUAAAAACAGCUGUCAACCAUACUUCCUGUGAAAUAGUGACCACUGUACUAGACGGAUCUUUACCUUCCACUCUGAUGAAGGGUCCUCUUGUUCCAUCAUCACAACGUGUUAUGCAGAAACUUAACAAAUGUAGUAUCUAAUUUGCUUUGGAUAUUAGAUCCAUGCUGUUACUCCAAGCCAUUUAUUUUAAAGAGAAAUAUUUAGAGCUCUUUAUCUAGGAAAACAAAUUAGCAAACAAAAGUCACUGCAGUUUCCGUACAUAACAGCUGUGGACUCCUUUGUAAUAUUACGAAACUUAGGUUUUAUUUUGAUUGUGCUAUUUUUGAAUUGCACUAUACUUGAUUGCACAGUGUUGAUCAUUGGACCAUAACAGAAGUAAAAGCAUGUUCUAAGGAAUUGGACAGUCUAUUUACAGUGACUUAUAUAAUUCAACUGACUUAACUGUCCAGUAUCCAUAAAAUUAACAUAAAUACCGUAAGUUUUUGUAAAAGCCAUAUAUAGGUGGUGUGGAGAAAAAUGAGAUUUUUGUAUCGUGCUGUACGUAGAGUUUUACAAUGUACAAAUUUUUCUUUAGAAUAAUCCCCUAUUAUUGUGCCCGCUUCUGCGCUACUACAAAUCAUGUUUUAGGUCUUUAAAAAAUACAGACUUCAAUCUGAAAAUGAAUUAAAAUUUUAUGGCAAGUACACAGCGACUUUUAAACUAUAGUACCUUCAUUGAAGAUAUAAGUAAUUAGGCUUUUACAAGGGUGGAAAGAUGAACUAUCAUUUCAAAAUUGGAAAUGUUGUGGUUAAUUCUGAAUAAACAUCAGUGUCUUAUGGCCUAAAAGACAUGGAUGUAACUGUGUAAAAAUGAAAGGAAGUUGGAAUGAAUUCUAUUGAAAAACCAAAGAUUUCCUGCACUGCACAUUUUUGAAUGAACAGAAAUAUGAUGGUGUUGGUCAUAAAGACUCCUUUUGCCUUUGGUUUACGAUAUUUAAAUUUUUUACAUAAUUUAAGCAGACUUUGUUGUGUGAAUGCUAUCCCAAAGUUUAAGUUCUUAUACAUUUACAUGCAAACAUAUAUUAAAAGCUAAGUGUUUUUUCAAGAGAUGGUGCUAUUCAGGUGUGGCCAAAACAUGGUAUACAUGUAUUAAGUUGUCUGAAACUAUUUUACGGUGCCUAAUGUUUAAAACACCAAGGAAUCAUUUUUGUAUCAAAUAAGCAGGCUGUAAAACCUUCUCUUCCUUCUGUUGUCAAAGGGUUGCAUAUUUAUAAAAUCUAAUUUUUGUAAUAUCUGUUUGAUCAGCCUCUAGGCAAAUUAGCCAGUUAUUUUAUAUUUGUAACUGAAGAUAGAGGAGGAAAAUGAAAGGCGAUGAGGUGGGGAGAGAAUUGGUAAUGAAAAGCAUUUUUUCUUCUCUACGCUACUUGUUUGAGUUAUAUCUGGCUCACCAGUGGCAUAAGUGGAAAUCAGUGGUUGGUUGAAGACGUAGUGGUCAGGAGUCGGGUCACAGUUGAAAGUAAUGGGUAUCUUUGUGCCAGAUCCUUAAUAGCAUUGCCCCAGUGAAAUAAAUUUAGUAGCUCUGUUGUGAACGGCUGAGGCUAGACACGUGGUGGCAAUCGUAGCAGAGAAAUCAGACAGAUUGGACAUGGAGAAUUAACCAUAGGUGCUUGUCCCUCCAAGUUAGGUUUGAGGCACAUUUGGCAGGGCAAUAUGAAGAUGCUUUAAUUGCUGCCUGUAAUUUACCUUGCGUGUGGAUAAAUGAAGGAAUCCAGUCUCCAGAGCUGUCAAAUACCAUAAUCCAACUCAGCAAGCAAAGCUGACUUUUUGAUUUACUGGCUUCAAAUAUAUAGUAAGGUCUUGGGUAUGAUGAGCUCAUAUUUUAUGGGUGGUAUUACUUUAGCAAUAAAUUACCAUAAAAACCAGGCUGCUUUCAAAAAAGAGGUGGUGAUUAUGUGCUUUUUUUUUUUAGUCUAAUUGAUUCAUGGUUAAUUCACUUUUUUUGAAAUAUGCUCUAAAUCUGGAAAA